RNAcentral lists this ribosomal RNA (468 nucleotides) under uncultured bacterium. RNAcentral describes it as "partial 16S ribosomal RNA". It matches the Rfam family "Bacterial small subunit ribosomal RNA", at positions 28 to 507 of the family's 1533-position model. The record is from RNAcentral.
GACGAACGCUGGCGGCGUGCUUAACACAUGCAAGUCGAACGGAAAGGCCCUGCUUUUGUGGGGUGCUCGAGUGGCGAACGGGUGAGUAACACGUGAGUAACCUGCCCUUGACUUUGGGAUAACUUCAGGAAACUGGGGCUAAUACCGGCUAGGAGCUCCUGCUGCAUGGUGGGGGUUGGAAAGUUUCGGCGGUUGGGGAUGGACUCGCGGCUUAUCAGCUUGUUGGUGGGGUAGUGGCUUACCAAGGCUUUGACGGGUAGCCGGCCUGAGAGGGUGACCGGCGACAUUGGGACUGAGAUACGGCCCAGACUCCUACGGGAGGCAGCAGUGGGGAAUAGUGCACAACGGGCGGAAGCCUGAUGCAGCAACGCCGCGUGCGGGAUGACGGCCUUCGGGUUGUAAACCGCUUUCGCCUGUGACGAAGCGUGAGUGACGGUAAUGGGUAAAGAAGCACCGGCUAACUACGUG